Long non-coding RNA from Sapajus apella (tufted capuchin), 686 nucleotides. RefSeq lists it as uncharacterized. The transcript has 2 exons. The record is from RefSeq and is a predicted model, not a curated record. Lineage: Eukaryota; Metazoa; Chordata; Mammalia; Primates; Cebidae.
GAGGAGCCUAGCCCUAGAAUUCUCAGUUGUUUGGUGAUCAGCACCGAACACAAAAGACUCACCAUAGAGUUUGGGCUGAGCUGGGUUUUCCUUGUUGCUAUCAUAAAAGGUGUCCAAUGUGAGGUGCAGCUGGUGGAGUCUGGGGGAGGCUUGGCAAAGCCUGGGAAGUCCCUGAGACUCUCCUGUGCAGUCUCUGGCUUCAACUUCAGUAGUUCCCACAUGAACUGGAUCCACCAGGUUACAGGGAAGGGCAUGGAGUGGGUUGGACAAAUCAAUCCUGGUGGAGGCGGCACAUACUACACAGACUCCGUGAAGGGCCGAUUCACCAUCUCCACAGACAACGCCAAAAACAAGCUUUUUGUACAAAUGAACAUCCUGAAAACUGAGGACAUGGCCAUCUUUUACUCUACUAGACACGCAACGAGAGGAUGUCAGUGUGAGCCCAGACACAAACCUCCCUGCAGGGGCGCGCGGGUACACUAGGGGGCACUCGGGACCCACUGAGGACCCAGGAGCCCAUGCAGGGGGAGGUUUCCUUUCUCAGCUGCAGGCAGGAGGCAGGUUUGUUUUUGCAGGAUUCUGGAGUUUUAUGAGGUUGUGAUAUUUUACUAUGGUUAUUUAUUAUGAUUUUUUAUUGAGACUUGUGUUUUUUAAGUAAUUUUUAAAUUUAUAUGUAGGGGUAUUUU